GUGGGGUGGAGGCCGUGUAACCUGGUCAUGGCAACAGGAAACAGGAAGGCAGGGGCUCUUGCUUCAACCUGGCUUUAAUCUGUGGCCUUCAGCAAAGUGCUUGGCCUCCAUCAGCCCCUGUGGGGUUGGUCCUCAUGGGCUGCAGUGGUUGAGGGAGUGAUUGCUUGGCAGCACCUCCAGAAAUCAGGAGGUGAUAGGGAAGGGAUAUUGAAAACCCAAAGGUAUUUAGCAUCAGUGGUGUGUGGAGUUCACCCCAUGUUUCUACAUGGUCUUCCAAAUUCCACUCCUAUAAUAAUUGGGGUGGAAAAUUGGUACGUUUCAUGGUAUUUUGGGUCAACUCAAAUUAGCUGUUGUGUUUAAGAUACUUGUUGAUAAUUUGCUGUUAAUUUUUAAAGUGAUAUUUAGAUUACAGUUCCUCUAAAAAUGCAGUUUUCUUUCUUGCUUUCAGAGAAUGAAAGAAGCUACCCUGACACAUCACAGAAAGCAUGUUUCUUUCUAAAUCAAAGAGUUCUUCCAAUAGCAAUGGCCUUCUGGAAUGCUGGAUUUCUGCUAUGUGAGUGUGACUGGGGAGCAUCCACCGACAGCAUCCCAUGUUCUUGAGUUGGAGGGCCCCAGCUUUAGUGCUGGAAGGAAGCUGUCUCUAUUUCCAAACUGGUUGUCAGAUGACUUCUGGAGUGCCUGGAGUUAGAGGAGAAGAGGAGGAGCACCAAGGCACCUGUGCUGAGGAUGAAGGGUCAAUUAGUGGCUGCUGAGCAAAUCAUAGAGCUGCUGCAUCCUAAUCCUAUAGACUUGGUCCCUCUCUGCCAUUCCUGGCAGUGUUCUCCAGAAUAGAUGUAAGUAGAGCAGCACAGCACAGUGCAGCUCUGCUGAUCCUGCAGCUCCUGGCAGUGCACCUGGCUGCCCAGGAACAGAUGUGAUUUCCACUGCACUUCAUGAAACAGGUGCUUGUCAAAUGAGAUGGCUGUGAACAUUGUUCAGUGGUUCCUGUGGCUGUAAAAAUACCCUCCACCACAACUCAUCUGCCACACACAGGCUGGAUUGUUCCGGAAAAGCUAGGAGCAAAUCCUUUAGCUAAGCCUGCCUUUCCUUUUGUUGAGUUGUGGAAACAGUGAAGGGCAAUGGGAGAUGAGCAUGUGACUUUAUGUGUUAUCAUCUCUGGGUAUUGAGGUGCUAUUUUUGCUUCCUUCAGGGAAAAGUUAAAUAUUCUGAUUUGGAUAUUCACGACAAAUGGCUUUUAAGGGAGAAAAUGAAAGGGUUUUGCUGACAUCUGGUCUUUGCUCCUGGCUCCUGGAGAUAUAUAGG
This 1302-nucleotide long non-coding RNA is filed under the name Phasianus colchicus (ring-necked pheasant). RNAcentral describes it as "lncRNA (ENSPCLG00000010939.1)". The record is from RNAcentral. Lineage: Eukaryota; Metazoa; Chordata; Aves; Galliformes; Phasianidae.